Molecule: ribosomal RNA, 253 nt
Filed under: uncultured bacterium
Lineage: Bacteria
Description: partial 16S ribosomal RNA
Rfam family: Bacterial small subunit ribosomal RNA
Source: RNAcentral
UACGGAGGGGGCUAGCGUUAUUCGGAAUUACUGGGCGUAAAGCGCACGUAGGCGGCUAUUCAAGUCAGAGGUGAAAGCCCGGAGCUCAACUCCGGAACUGCCUUUGAAACUAGAUAGCUUGAACAUCGGAGAGGUAAGUGGAAUUCCGAGUGUAGAGGUGAAAUUCGUAGAUAUUCGGAAGAACACCAGUGGCGAAGGCGGCUUACUGGACGAUUGUUGACGCUGAGGUGCGAAAGCGUGGGGAGCAAACAGG